This 1938-nucleotide ribosomal RNA is filed under the name marine metagenome. RNAcentral describes it as "bacterial LSU rRNA". It matches the Rfam family "Bacterial large subunit ribosomal RNA", at positions 839 to 2853 of the family's 2925-position model. The record is from RNAcentral.
CCGGAGGUACCUGUUUCGCCACGACUUCUCAUUAGGACGACGGUGAGCCGACACUCCCGGGGGGACUAGCACUGGAUGGCUCAUGUGGCCCCACAGGCUUACUGAUCCUAACCAAACUCCGAAUACCCGGGAGUAAUAGAUGGCAGACACACUGCGGGUGCUAACGCCCGUAGUGAAAAGGGAAACAACCCUGACCGACAGUUAAGGCCCCUAAUUCAUGGCUAAGUGGAAAAGCAGGUGAGACGACCAUAACAACCAGGAAGUUGGCUUAGAAGCAGCCAUCUUUUAAAGAUAGCGUAACAGCUCACUGGUCUAAUUAAGUUGUCUUGCGGCGAAAAUGUAACGGGGCUCAAGCCAUGAGCCGAAACUUCGGAUGCAUUUAUGCAUGGUAGCGGAGCGUAGUGUGACAUAGUUCCAUGCGUCUUUAACUUCCUUCGGGGAGUAUUGGACGCAAGGAGCUUUCUGUGAAGCCGGCCUGUGAGGGAUCCGGUGGAGAGAUCACUAGUGAGAAUGAUGACAUGAGUAACGACAAAGGGGGUGAGAGACCCCCUCGCCGAAAAUCCAAGGGUUCCUGCUUAAAGCUAAUCUGAGCAGGGUGAGCCGGCCCCUAAGCCGAGGGCGAAAGCCGUAGGCGAUGGGAACCAGGUUAAUAUUCCUGGGCCAGGAGGAAGUGACGGAUCAUGAAGAUUGUUGGAUCAGGCGUAGUUGCCCCAGCAGUUAAUUGGUUCCUGGAAAUAGCCCUCCAUCAGACCGUACCCUAAACCGACACAGGUGGAUAGGUAGAGUAUACCAAGGCGCUUGAGAGAACUAUGUUGAAGGAACUCGGCAAAAUACCUCCGUAAGUUCGCGAGAAGGAGGCCCGGUUUCUAGGCAACUGGAAGCUGGGGGCACAAACCAGGGGGUGGCGACUGUUUACUAAAAACACAGGGCUCUGCGAAGUCGUAAGACGACGUAUAGGGUCUGACGCCUGCCCGGUGCCUGAAGGUUAAAAGGAGGGGUGAGAGCUCCGAAUUGAAGCCCAGGUAAACGGCGGCCGUAACUAUAACGGUCCUAAGGUAGCGAAAUUCCUUGUCGGGUAAGUUCCGACCUGCACGAAUGGCGUAACGACUUCCCCGCUGUCUCCAACAUAGACUCAGUGAAAUUGAAUUGCCUGUCAAGAUGCAGGCUUCCCGCGGUUAGACGGAAAGACCCCGUGCACCUUUACUACAACUUUACACUGAUAACAGGCACAAUAUGUGCAGAAUAGGUGGUAGGCUUUGAAGCAGGGACGCCAGUCCUUGUGGAGCCUCCUUUGAGAUACCACCCUUAUUUUUCUUGUUAUCUAACUGCGGUCCGUUAUCCGGAUCCAGGACCCUGUAUGGUGGGUAGUUUGACUGGGGCGGUCGCCUCCUAAAGCGUAACGGAGGCGCGCGAAGGUUGGCUCAGAGCGGUCGGAAAUCGCUCGUUGAGUGCAAUGGCAGAAGCCAGCCUGACUGCGAGACUGACAAGUCGAGCAGAGUCGAAAGACGGCCAUAGUGAUCCGGUGGUCCCGAGUGGAAGGGCCAUCGCUCAACGGAUAAAAGGUACGCCGGGGAUAACAGGCUGAUGGUGCCCAAGAGUCCAUAUCGACGGCACCGUUUGGCACCUCGAUGUCGGCUCAUCACAUCCUGGGGCUGGAGCAGGUCCCAAGGGUACGGCUGUUCGCCGUUUAAAGAGGUACGUGAGCUGGGUUUAGAACGUCGUGAGACAGUUCGGUCCCUAUCUGCCGUGGGUGUAGGAUACUUGAGAGGAGUUGCCCCUAGUACGAGAGGACCGGGGUGAACGAUCCACUGGUGGACCAGUUGUCGACUACGGCAGUGCUGGGUAGCUAUGAUCGGACAGGAUAACCGCUGAAAGCAUCUAAGCGGGAAGCCCCCCUCAAAACAAGGUAUCCCUGAGGACCGAGGUAGACCACCUCGU